GAACUGUGAUAAGUAACGUGAAUCGCAGAACUCCGUGAAUCGUCGAAUCUUUGAACGCAUCUGGCGAUUUGUAGAAAUACAGAUCACAUUUCAUUCAGUGUAGUCUAUAAACCCAAUUUUUUCUUUUUCUUCGAAAGAAAAAGAAAAUACAAUGAUGGUUUCAAAUUUUUUUUUGAAUCCAUUCAAAAGAUUAUCUAAAAUCAAUUGCUCUAUUUCAUAAGAAUAAUUGGAUAGUUUUCGUAAAAGAAAUCACUUGAAAAUUGUUUGUAUGAAAAAGAGUACUACUCUACUAAACCUACCUGAAUGAAGUGAGAAUACCCGCUGAACUUAA
This 331-nucleotide unclassified non-coding RNA is filed under the name uncultured fungus. RNAcentral's name for it is "sequence contains ITS1". The stretch from base 1 to 103 matches the Rfam family "5.8S ribosomal RNA", at positions 50 to 154 of the family's 154-position model. The record is from RNAcentral. Lineage: Eukaryota; Fungi.